Molecule: ribosomal RNA, 534 nt
Filed under: uncultured archaeon
Lineage: Archaea
Description: bacterial SSU rRNA
Rfam family: Bacterial small subunit ribosomal RNA
Source: RNAcentral
CAGCCGCCGCGGUAAUACGUAGGGAGCGAGCGUUAUCCGGAUUUAUUGGGUGUAAAGGGUGCGUAGGCUGAUAAACAGGUCUAAGGUCUAAGUCCGAAGCUUAACUUCGGUUCGCCUUAGAAACCAGUUAUCUAGAGUAUGGUAGAGGCAAGUGGAAUUUCUAGUGUAGCGGUAAAAUGCGUAGAUAUUAGAAGGAACACCAGUGGCGAAGGCGACUUGCUGGACCAUAACUGACGCUGAGGCACGAAAGCGUGGGGAGCAAAUAGGAUUAGAUACCCUAGUAGUCCACGCCGUAAACUAUGGAUACUAAGUGUCGGGCAACCGGUGCUGAAGUUAACACAUUAAGUAUCCCACCUGAGUAGUACGGUCGCAAGGCUGAAACUUAAAGGAAUUGACGGGCACCCGCACAAGCGGUGGAGCAUGCUGUUUAAUUCGAAGAUACGCGAAAAACCUUACCUAGACUUGACAUCCCAAUGACCGACUUAGAAAUAAGUCUUUCCCUUCGGGGACAUUGGUGACAGGUGGUGCAUGGCC